This 8239-nucleotide long non-coding RNA is filed under the name Paramuricea clavata. Lineage: Eukaryota; Metazoa; Cnidaria; Anthozoa; Malacalcyonacea; Plexauridae. The record is from RNAcentral.
UUCAAAUUCAAUAUGGCGGCCAAUUAAUUAUCUGCUUGUGUGCAGGACGAUUCCUGUUUGUUUAUGCGAUUACCUGAAGAAAUUGUGGAGAAAAUCUUGUGUUAUUUAUGGUUAAGGUCUGACCAAAACCUAGGGACACUCGUUUGUACUUUAUGGAAUAGACUUCUGCUCAGAAUACGCAAUAAACGACAUGAAACGUUUUUGCAAUCUGUAAAAAACGGCAAAAUUUACUGGAGGAAAUGUGCUAAUACUUCACGUGUGAGUCCUGCUCCGAGAUUUUCUCAUGCUCUGUGUGUUUUGAAGGGAAAGCUUUGUAUAUUUGGUGGAUGUUCGUCAACAAAUACUGUCUACAAUGAUUUGUUUGUGUUUUGUUUGGCAGAGGAGAAAUGAUCAAAAGUUACCACAAGCGGAUUUACUCCAGUACCAAGAGAAUGUGCUACAUUAGUCAGUUAUUGCACUAAAAACAGCUGCAUUAUGAUUCUUUUUGGUGGAUGUUGUCAGCCGCCCAGAUGUUCGAUGCCGUCCAAUGGCAAGUUUUUUAACGAUGUACAAAUUUUAAGUUUUGUUGACAAACAUUGGACAGGGAUGAGCUAGGUCUGACGAGAGCUAUACGUGUCCGCGGGCUGGCCAUUCUGCUUCUGUUAUUGGUAAUAUCAUGGUUAUAUUUGGAGGAGCACAGAGUGAAAAAAGGUCAGAUUUGUAUUAAGUUCAGCUCACUCGAUCGGCAUGUUUGACGCCGGCUGCCAGCCAGAAAAUUUGUCUCUGGUUGCUCAGCUGCCAGCCGGGCUGUACUAUAGUAUAUUAUUGGUUCAAAAAAUGCACACAUUUUGGAGACUGGUUCUUGAAUUUUUUUAAUCAGAAAACCAACAAAAUUUCAUUAAAUUUUGAAAAAACAAUCGAACUGCAUCUAAAUUCAUUUUCUUAAUGUCUAUAGCUACCUAUAUAACUGGUAAAUACACAACAAAAACCCCAAAUAUAACAAAGGGCAAAAUUAAAAUUUAUUUAAUUGUGCUCACUUUGAGAUUGAUCCAUAGUUAACUAGAUGCUCAAUCUGAGUGUUGUUAUACCCGCUUGCCACCACACCUUACAUGAUAUAUUUAUUAAGUAAUUGUAUAUACAGUAUACAGGUUGAUCUUAGGCGCCACGAUUUAUGAUUGUGUAAAUAUGUAUGCUAUAUCUGUAUUGAAAUUGUCAAUGUUAUCUGCUGUAUGAACACUGUAGUAUUCAGUACUGCAACUGGGCACAGCCGAGCUGUUAUCUAUUCUUUAAUACAGUAAUAGAAUGCAACACGGCUACCAGCCCAGCCUGUCUGCAGUGUACUAUAGUAUACCACAAUACAGCAUGGCUACCAGCUGAGGUUAUUUAGAUUAACUGUACAUAUUACACUGCUACACUAACAAUGCAAUACGGCUACCAGACUACCAGUUGAGCUCAUCCGUUGAUUACCAGACUAGUUAACUAUGGACGGACAUCAUGCGUUCAAAUCUCAGAGUGAGCGCAGAGGAAUUUUGAUUUUUUUCUUUGCCAUAUUUGUUUUUUUUCUCUUGUUUAUUUACCUGCUAUAUAGUGUAGCUAGUUACAGAUAUUUGGAAGAAGACUUUAGAUGCAGUCUAAUGUAAUUUUUGGCUUACCGAUUUUAAAAAAUUCUAGAACCAGUCUCAGAAAUGUGCAUAUUUUUUGAAGCAAUAAUAUACUAUAGUAUAGCCCGGAUGGCUGCUGAGCAAUCAGGGACAAGUUUUCUGGUUGCAAGCUGGCAUCAGGCACGCUAAUCGGGUGUCCAGCUAGUCAGCUCCAGAAAGUUUUUAAUUUUAUAAUUAAAAGCCUGGAGCCGAUUGUAUAAAAAUGUAGUUCUCUAAGGUUUUUAUUUAUUAUAUAAAGUAUAGUGCUUUAUAGAGAUUUUCAGCACUGAGAAAAGUGAUAAUCUCACAUGUGAGAUUAUUCAUGAUAAUCUCACAUGUGAAAAUUAUCGCUUUUCAAUUAUCGCUUUUCUGUAAAAAUUAUUGCUUUUCAAAGACUGUCCUUUAUGUAACAAACAGAAAAAUACAUGGGUGCUUGGAAAUACCAAAUUUAUUUCUUGUGUUGAACAUGAUACAGGUAACUCACUCGUUCGCUGUGCUCACUCGUGAAAUAUCAUGUUCAACACUCGAAAUAAAUCUGGUAUUUUGUGCACCCAUUCUCUAUUUAUUACACCUGAGCAGGAACAGUUGUAACUACAGACACUGAUCUCUGUACCUCAGUUGGUUGGAGUGCUGCACAGAAUUGCAGGAUUGCAGGUUCCUGCCAGAGGACCUUAGUCUAUAAGUUGCAUUUUUUGCAACCGCUUCUGGUUACUGUAGGUUUAAUAAAUGUAUAAAAAUUCACACUGGAAGUUUCCAUCUACAAAACCCUUCAACAAGUAGUUAUAUUGAGUGUGGUGGCCAAAAUCCUGUCAAUCAUACCUGUUGAUUUUAUUUUUGUGGAGGUAGGCUAUGCCACAUUCUAUUACCCAGAGCUUGGCCUGUUCAUAUGGGCAAAAUUUAUCCCGGUUAGUGAGAAAACUUUUCGACAAGUUUACAAGCGAGGUCUGGCCUUGUAUAAAAAUAAUAUGAAAAGUUACACUGCGUUCAUAUGAGACGAAAGUUUUCCUGUGUACUGAGUUCUUGCUUGUUGACAGGCUAGAUCUCGGUGACUGGGAUGUUUUUUCCCAUAUGAACACAACUUGCCCGCUUAGCGGGAUAUCCUUCUGUUGUGUCAGCGACUUUUGAAUUCAAUUGAUGUUCAGUGCUACGUCACAGCCGGAAAUUUUUCCCAGUAAGCAGGAUAACUUUUACAGUCCAUAUGAACAGAACAAAAGUAUUUGGCUAGUCAAAAAGUUUUCUCGUUAACCGGGAUAACUUCUGCCCAUAUGAACAGGUCCUUACACAAUGUCAACAGAACAUGACGAGGGUUGAGGGGUACGAGAAUGGAUUGCGCUGCUGCAGAUAAAAAUGUAGCCUCUGAACGAGAACAAAAUGCCAAGUGUGCCACUACACUAGAUAACUAGCUCAAUUUUUUGGAGUUGGCAACAACACAGCAAGUAACUUCAGACUUACAUACCUAGUGGCUUGGCUGGCUCACCUCGCAUCACAUACUCUUUGAGUUAGGCAGUUAGCCCACAACUCAAGGCUUAGAUGCCUAGCUUUUUCAUGCUUUUCAGAGUUAUACUGUAGCUAGCUCCAAAUGGUUUUUGGAGUUAGCUAGUAACUGCAGGCUUAGAUACCUAGCUCCUAAAUGAUUUCUGGAGUUAUACCUAUAGCUCCAAACACUUUUAUGGAGUUAGCCAGUAACUCCAGGCUUGGAUACCAAGCCAGUAACUCCAGGUUAGAUAACUAGCUCCUAGAUGAUUUUUGGAGUUAUACCUAGCUUCAAAUGAUUUUUGGAGUUAGCCAUACAGUUACUCCAGGCUUAGAUACCUAGCUCCUAAAUGAUUUUUGGAGUUAUACCUAGCUCCAAACAAAUUUUUGGAGUUAGCCAGUAAACCCAGGCUUGGAUACCAAGCCAGUAACUCCAGGUUAGAUAACUAGCUCCUAGAUGAUUUUUGGAGUUAUACCUAGCUUUAAAUGAUUUUUGGAGUUAGCCAGUAACUCCAGGCUUAGAUACCUAGCUCCUAAAUGAUUUUUGGAGUUAUACCUAUAGCUCCAAACAAUUUUUUGAAGUUAGCCAGUAACUCCAGGCUUGGAUACCAAGCCAGUAACUCCAGGGUUAGAUAACUAGCUCCUAGACUAUUUUUGGAGUCAUACCUAGCUUUAAAUGAUUCUUGGAGUUAUACCCAGCUUCAAGGGAUUUUUGGAGUUAGACAGUAACUCCACAAUUCAUGUUUCAACUCAGUUUUGAAUUACACAAGUUACUUAAGUGUAUAUUUUGGUUUGGAGUCUAAGCCCUUUAGACUUUGGAGGUAGUGUCGCUCCAUAACUUCCUACUAUCUACAGGCAUGCUGUCAAUACAUGCAUUUAUUAGAUUGAUGUAUAUUUAAUAGAUGUAGACAUUAUUAAAUGUAUAAAAUUCACACUCGAUAUUUCCAUCUAUAAAACCUUUUUACAAUCAGUUGCCACUCAAUGGGUUAACACAUGCAGCACUGAAUCUCUGUGGAUGAUUUACUGUAAAAUACAUACUCUCUCGCGAUUUUGCAUGUUAUUACUGUACAUUUUUUUAGCUUGCAAUCACAGAUAAUAUUAUUUUAAUUGUAUGAUAGAUUAUUUCACAUUCUGGUGUUAACCCAAUGUCACUGGGUUGCAUUGCACUAUACUUUAAUACUAUUUUAUUUUAAUAAAAUAGACGCUGUCUGACCAAAAAUAUAUAUUUAUUACAAGCUUUCGGCUACCAAUCUGUAGCCUUCAACGGGUAUGAGUGUAUGAAAUAUGAAACUAUAGUCUAUUAUUGUAUAUACAGAAAGAUUAGCAUAAGUUAUCGAUAAGGGAAAUUUUAGGACCCGGAAAACUCAUGGCAUACAGCCUUAACAACUGAUGCUGACAACAAUUCAUGUCCACUUCCCGGACAAUAUACUGUUCUUAUAAAAAAGCAGUCAUACUUGACAAUACACACUCAUAUUUCAUACGCAAUUAUGCUAAUCUUUCUGUAUAUACAAUAAUAGACCAUAGUUUCAUAUUUCAUACACUCAUACCCGUUGAAGGCUACAGAUUGGUAGCCGAAAGCUUGUAAUAAAUAUAUAUUUUUGGUCAGAGAGCGUCUAUUUUAUUAUUAUGUUUCAUCCUGGCCGCGCAUCUGCCUCUAUUUUUUCAACUAUUUUAUUUUGUCUGAUGCAUGCCAGAGACUAUUUUACCAUCAAGGAGAGAGCAUUUGCACUCAAUGGGUUAAGCAAAUAAACUUCCUAUUUUAUUGGAAUUGCUUCCAAUAAUGAAAUAUCUUACAUAUAAUGGCAGAAAAAAUUGCAAACUGAAGAUAUUAGAUUGUAAAAAAUAAACACGUAUUGCGUAUGAUCGCCAGGUGUGAAAAAAUAUUUUACUUCCUGGGACUCCAAGAGAACAUUGAAACAUUUCGGUGAAUAAUCAAGUAAAUGAACACUUGGAUACACAGUGUUGAUACAAUUGUCUCACUGUGGCACUAACAAAAUAUCACAUUCUAUUUUAACAGGAAAAAAUUUAAGUGCACUGAGAAUCUUAGUAAUUCUUUUAGAAAUAUUUGUAAAUAUUAUUCGAGUGCUUAUCAGGUUUAGGGCAAAUUUUGUGCCCGAGUACACUACACCAACACAACAAAAUAUCACUUUUAGGAAUAUUACAUUUUAGAUAUUAAUUACAUGCAUCAGGGGCAGGGUCUUAGCUAGAGGGCCGUGUUGGCCGUAUUAUCGCGGGCAAAAAUGGAAAAACACGGCUAGAUAAAAUGAACGCGGCUUCAUUACUUUUAUAAGGCUGUGUAGGUUCAUGAAAUAAGGUGUUGCUACUUACAACAAACAUGCAGAAUUUCUUCCUAUUUACGUCGUAAGAAAGUUUGUAAAAUCUACUGUAAUUCUUGAAAUUGGCAAAAGUGAUCCGUGAUGUUUUAAUGUUUUGAUGGAUAAUGGGAACCAUAUGGUGUUAAAAUGGCUUUAAAUACCCCCAAGAGUUGCUGAAAUAACUUACUAUUUCAUUGUCAGUAUGCGAUGUGAGCGUAUGCUCGCCUUGUAUUUGGUUGCAAAGCAUACAACAACCACAGGCAUUGUCUGUUGUUGGCGAGCAUGACUAGUACCGUGAAUUUGGCCAUUCAAGGUAAUUGACAUGGGCACACCCUGGUCAUUUAGAAACACGCCCAAGAUCUAAAAUCCUAGCUAAGACCCUGAUCAGGGGUCUCAUCCUAAGGUAAUUACCGAUGCAAAAAAAGGGCACUAAGUACUAGGGGGCACUACCAUGUUGACCCGAAAAUUUUUAAAAUGAGGUUCAGCCCAGACUGAGUAAAAAUGUAUUUGGCAUACAACAUCUGUUCCAUUAUUCUAUAGUCUAUAUAUUUAUACACUCUCACACUAUUAAGAUGGAUGAAUUUUUUUUAUAUUUCAAAUUAUAAAAAACGUUUUAGUUUUACUCUUGAUCGAUACAGCUCAAUUUUACAUCCUCGGCUCCGUUUAAAUUGCUGUGCUCUUAAUUAUUAUUUAUUUAAAAUAAGCUGCAUUCCGUCACCAGUUUGUAAAUGCGUUUUUUAUUGUGAAUCUGUAAUUCAUUAUUUUCUGUAUUGUCCAAGAUAUGCUGCUCCUAGAUUAAUUCAGCUCUCAGCUGUAUUAGAAAUUUUAGGUGACAGCUGGUAUAGGAAAUCAGACUCAACGAAAGUACGAAUACUUCUAAGUGGUGAAGAUGAAUUGUCAUUAGCUCAAAAUAGAUACAUUUUUUCCAGUGUGCAACAGUUUAUUAGGCCAUCCAGACGUUUUGUUGGCUGUGCUUAUGUAGAUGAAUGUGAUGAAAUAAUCCAGCUGUCUCCUGACUGAUGUUAUUUAUUUAAAUACAACAUAUAAAUAGGCGUAUAAGCCCCCUUGAUGAGCUUAUUAGCUCUUGUGGCACACGUUUCUCAAAAUAUGUUAAAUAAAUAAAAGAUGGAUGCACUUAUUUUAUUGUAUUUCAAAGGUCAUACCUACAGUACAGUGACAUUCUUUCAUUGCUUAGAAUUUUUCCUCUCAAUUUCUCCUUUUAUCUAAAUUUUUACAAUUACCUUUUUUCUUCUUUUUUGGGGAAAUAUUUUGUGGGAACUCGAAAAUUUUCUGGUACACAUGGCCCUGUGCUCCGAUACUUUUUCAUCCCCUGAUACUCGAUACCUACAUUAUUUUGCCAACUAAAGCCAUCAAGUACAAUGUACAGAUUUUUUGAAAUUUCUUUCCGAAAGGCGUCAAUAUGAUAUUCAGCCUUCUUUCAGUUAAGUGACCGUACAAAUUUCGUACAAAUGGCCCGUCCAUAACACCUGUUUUAAGACACACCGGACGCGAUCGGCAACGCGACGCGAUUUUUUAGUUUUUGAAAGUUAAUAAAACAGCCAAUGAGAUCAAAUUUUAAAAGAUAUUUAGACCAAAUAACUCAAAAUGUUACAACAUUAAUUUUCUAAAUAUUUGGAAAAUUUAAACUAGGAUCAAAGUGACAGUUGGUGCUUCGGUGGUGAAGUGGUUAGCGCACUUGCCUUUCACCUCUAAGAUCGCAGGUUCAAAUCUCAAUGAGAACUUCUCAAUGCGACUCGAACCCAGUCCUCAUGUGAAAAGAGUAAAAAGUCAACGCUCUGCCGAAAGUCGUGGAUUUUCUCCGGGUACCCCGUGUUUCCUCCCACAGGGAAAGUUGACAGGGUGCAUGGCUUAGGCACAUCGGUCUGUUUCACGUCAGUCCGGUUCUAUCUAUCUAUUUAUAAUGUAACCAGUCACUGAAAAGCCCUGAUAGGGAGUGUGCUGUGAAAUAUCUGUAUCUGUUGUCGAAUCGCGUCCGGACCUUAAUACGACGAAUUUCGGUCCCGUCAAGUGCAAUUCAAACGAUAGAUAAUGAAGCUUAAUGAGGUUUAUCAUAUUGCAUUUGACGCGACCAAAAUUUGACAGCUUUAAAACAGGCCCAGGAUCAUCAGGCUUGAUGUCAAGCUGGCGAAGCCAAUAAUCAGUAUUUUUUAUAGGUUUUCAGAUGUGUGGUGUUUCAAUCUAGAAGAUAGGAAAUGGCAUCUUCCAACCAUUAACGGAAUUUAACCCAUGGGAAGAUUUGGUCAUUCCCAAGUAAUGUACUCUUGGUAUUUUUUGCUAUCGAUUUUGGAGUUUUAGGAUUGUAGUUUUAUUAUAAACGAACCAACAUUAUAUUUUAAUAAUUCAAACCGAUCAUCAGCAGAUUAUAAGAUUUCCAUAACGCAAACUUACAUGUUGAUAUGAUUAUUUGCGCUAUACAUCAAGAAUCACGUCAGAAUAUUGCUACAAGUUUAAUUUUGUCCUACAUUCUCGAGGAUUUUUCAAAAAAGGGUGUUGUUGCUUUAUAGAGGUUACUUCAUUUAAUGCAGAACAAAAGGCUUGUAACUUUGCAACUAAAAGCCUGUAAAUCUUGCGCGAACAGUUUUUCUAGCCAAGACUUUUUAACUUUCUGUCCUUAAUAUUUGCUCUCUCAAUAAUACUAUAACAUUUCUUUUGCAGGUUACGUUGAACAAUCGAGAUAUUCUAAUCAUGGGUGGCUGUGGACAUGCAAAUAUGGUAUGACAUCAAAUUUUUUGUACUUUAUCAGGGCUUUCAAAAGAAGCCGGCGACGCAAUGUUGCGUUUCGUAAACCGCCAGGGUCAGCAGUAACAAUCA